Molecule: long non-coding RNA, 626 nt
Organism: Lates calcarifer (barramundi perch)
Lineage: Eukaryota; Metazoa; Chordata; Actinopteri; Centropomidae
Exons: 4
Source: RefSeq, a predicted model, not a curated record
AAUACGGCAGUGGGCGCGAGAGGGAAAUUCCUCCGACUCAAAAAUGGAUUAAUGGCAAACAAACAGCAUACCAGCAAACGGAUAAAGGAUUGUAAGUUUAAAAAGAAAGGCUAUAGUCAGGCCAGGGGAAGAUCCGCGUCAACAUUGGUGCGCUUUUCCAGCAGCGGAGAGACCUGCGGGAGCUGAAAGGCCUAAAAACGGAUUUGGAAGUUGCUGUUUCUGCUCGACAGGAGGCUGCUUAUGAUCCGUCCCCGGAGAAACCUCCUCUGUGGGCCUCCGACGGAUCCCAAACCUCCUGGUUCUCAUCGUUUUCCAGAAUCGAAGACAACACACCCAGGAGCUAAUCCUGAUGUAAGGAUUUCACUGAUAUUUGAAGGAGUAUCAGACAGCUGGAGUCUCAACACACAGCAACGUGGUAGCUGCCCAAAUGGUCCACUGGUCCUGUCUAGCUGUCUCUGUGGUCCCUUUAACUCCGGCCAUUAAUGAGGGAAUUGAGCACCAGUGUGACCACUUCACAGCAUGGUAGAGAGGUGGAGAGAAGGAGGUGGCACCUGGUGGAGGAGACACAGGCCUCAGAUAAGGACCAGGGCGACCAAAGGAUUCCUGACGUGGGUCAGCAUGACAGU